CCUACGGGUGGCAGCAGUGGGGAAUAUUGGACAAUGGGGGCAACCCUGAUCCAGCCAUGCCGCGUGUGUGAAGAAGGCCUUCGGGUUGUAAAGCACUUUUGUGAAAAGAGCGGUACCGGAAGAAUAAGCACCGGCUAACUUCGUGCCAGCAGCCGCGGUAAUACGAAGGGUGCAAGCGUUACUCGGAAUUACUGGGCGUAAAGCGUGCGUAGGUGGUUCGUUAAGUCUGUCGUGAAAGCCCCGGGCUCAACCUGGGAAUGGCGAUGGAUACUGGCGGGCUAGAGUGCGGUAGAGGAGAGUGGAAUUCCCGGUGUAGCAGUGAAAUGCGUAGAGAUCGGGAGGAACAUCAGUUGCGAAGGCGGCUCUCUGGACCAGACUGACACUGAGGCACGAAAGCGUGGGGAGCAAACAGGAUUAGAUACCCUUGUAGUC
RNAcentral lists this ribosomal RNA (432 nucleotides) under uncultured bacterium. RNAcentral describes it as "partial 16S ribosomal RNA". It matches the Rfam family "Bacterial small subunit ribosomal RNA", at positions 338 to 795 of the family's 1533-position model. The record is from RNAcentral.